GGACAAGGAUUGGGGAGGAAACAGGGAAGAUGGACUAUUUGAAGGAAAAAGAAGAGGAAGAACAAAUAUACAGUGAUAAAGCAUACCUUAAACACAGACAAAACAUCAAAAUAUGUAAGAGUUGAUUAUACCCCCUGAAAACUACAAAUGGAACUGUUUUAAUAUUGCUGAUAUGGCUUCACUAGAAUGCUGACUGAAAAUGAAACAUUUGAAUCUGGAAGUGUCCAAGAAACGUGCCUUUUUGCAGAUUAAAGAUUUUCAGAAUGA
Molecule: long non-coding RNA, 267 nt
Organism: Hemicordylus capensis (graceful crag lizard)
Lineage: Eukaryota; Metazoa; Chordata; Lepidosauria; Squamata; Cordylidae
Exons: 2
Source: RefSeq, a predicted model, not a curated record